AACGAACGCUGGCGGCAUGCCUAACACAUGCAAGUCGAACGAGACCUUCGGGUCUAGUGGCGCACGGGUGCGUAACGCGUGGGAACCUGCCCUUAGGUUCGGAAUAACUCCCCGAAAGGGGUGCUAAUACCGGAUAACGUCUUCGGACCAAAGAUUUAUCUCCUUUGGAUGGGCCCGCGUUGGAUUAGCUGGUUGGUAGGGUAAAAGCCUACCAAGGAGACGAUCCAUAGCUGGUCUGAGAGGAUGAUCAGCCACACUGGGACUGAGACACGGCCCAGACUCCUACGGGAGGCAGCAGUGGGGAAUAUUGGACAAUGGGCGAAAUCCUAAUCCAGCAAUGCCGCGUGAGUGAUGAAGGCCUUAGGGUUGUAAAGCUCUUUUACCCGGGAUGAUAAUGACAGUACCGGGAGAAUAAGCUCCGGCUAACUCCGUG
Molecule: ribosomal RNA, 433 nt
Filed under: uncultured bacterium
Lineage: Bacteria
Description: partial 16S ribosomal RNA
Rfam family: Bacterial small subunit ribosomal RNA
Source: RNAcentral